AUUGCAGGCUGCAACCCGCCUGUAUGAAGUUGGAAUCGCUAGUAAUCGCGGAUCAGCAUGCCGCGGUGAAUACGUUCCCGGGCCUUGUACACACCGCCCGUCACACCAUGAGAGUCGGGAACACCCGAAGUCCGUAGCCUAACCGCAAGGGGGGCGCGGCCGAAGGUGGGUUCGAUAAUUGGGGUGAAGUCGUAACAAGGUAGC
This 204-nucleotide ribosomal RNA is filed under the name uncultured bacterium. RNAcentral describes it as "partial 16S ribosomal RNA". It matches the Rfam family "Bacterial small subunit ribosomal RNA", at positions 1297 to 1500 of the family's 1533-position model. The record is from RNAcentral.